UAAAUUGUAGUGCCAUAAAGAAUAACAGCAUUCAAAUUUCAAUACACAACUUCUUAAGUGUGGCAGCGAUGAAGGUAUACAUAUUAUUGUUAGUUGCAAUUGUUGCAAUUAUCAUGAGCUCCAGUAGUAUGGCUGAACCUACAGGCGAUAAACCUGAGCAGGCUAAGAAAAUGGAUGAAGCAAUCAGUUGGGCCACGUCAAUAUAUGAGGGCUAACUGCAUCAUAAUUAAAUAAUAACAGAAUUUAUGUCACACUAUAUUCAACAAGUUUCUCAGCUAAUAAGCAUUUUGUAGUAAUAUUAUUUGCUAUGUGAAAAAAUUAAUAUAAUUUUCAAAAACCUUUAAA
Molecule: long non-coding RNA, 345 nt
Organism: Wasmannia auropunctata (little fire ant)
Lineage: Eukaryota; Metazoa; Arthropoda; Insecta; Hymenoptera; Formicidae
Exons: 2
Source: RefSeq, a predicted model, not a curated record